UGCUUCACAUUCCGCGUGACGUCGGGACUCGCCAACACGGAAGUGAUCGUCGAGCGGCAGUGAGAAAAAAGAAGAGAGCAGAGCGCGCGCACUGAAGAAAAAAAAAAACUAAAAACACAGCACACGCUGAAGGGGGAUUCACAGAGUGAGACAGUUGACCUGUUUGGAACAGAAAUGGUGACCCUUGACAUGGACACUGAAGGAUGGACACGUUUCCUAAUAUAUCAAUGAUACCAUCAAUCAAAAGACAAAGUCAUUGCAGAAGCAGAGCUGCAUACAAAGCAUUAAUGGCAGCAUGUAUGAACAGCACUGAACUCUUGGGCUGAAUUUUAUGGAUCACUUCCACAGUUCUGGAACCUAAAACAUCAACAGAAGAAAGGGCUGACAGGUGGCUGAAUCCAACACACAUACAGUCAUGACACACAAACAAACACAUGCAAGCCUGCACAAGACAGCAUGUAAGCAGAAAUUUUUGUGGAAUUAUGGGAACUUUAGUUUUAACAGUUUCUAUCUCUGUCUUUCUCUUAGUUUCUCAUUUAUUUUGUGACCUUUAACCUUGUUGGAAAUCAAAGGAACAAAUUAAUCACAUUCAAAUGUUGUUUUACUUUUAAGAUUGUAUGACUUGUCAAUGAAAAUCUGACAAAUGUUUUCCCUUUUUUUGUCAAUAUUGAAGGUGAGACAUGGCAAAUAAUGAUUAUAAUUAAAUUAUUGCAUUAAAAACAUAUUGUUGGCACAAAUAUGAUGAGAAAAAUACAAUGACAAAGUAAUUACUAAGGCACUAAUGUUUUUUUGUUUUGUAGAAAAAAGGGUUGAAUCAAAAAAUACACUAGAAGUGAGCAUAGCACAGACAAUGAUUACAUAG
Molecule: long non-coding RNA, 862 nt
Organism: Carassius carassius (crucian carp)
Lineage: Eukaryota; Metazoa; Chordata; Actinopteri; Cypriniformes; Cyprinidae
Exons: 4
Source: RefSeq, a predicted model, not a curated record